RNAcentral lists this ribosomal RNA (200 nucleotides) under uncultured bacterium. RNAcentral's name for it is "partial 16S ribosomal RNA". It matches the Rfam family "Bacterial small subunit ribosomal RNA", at positions 28 to 232 of the family's 1533-position model. The record is from RNAcentral.
GAUGAACGCUAGCGGGAGGCCUAACACAUGCAAGUCGAGCGGUUGAGGUAGCUUGCUACCGAUGCAGCGGCGGACGGGUGAGUAAUACAUGGGAAUCUGCCUGGUAGUGGGGGACAACGUUUCGAAAGGAACGCUGAUACCGCAUACGCCCUACGGGGGAAAGGGGGGGAUCUUCGGACCUCUCGCUAUCAGAUGAGCCC